GUACAGUAGUCGGAAACGUUAAGUUAGUUUCCGCUAGCCCUUAUUUUCUAACUCUGUCGUCUCUUUCUCUGUAUCAGCCUAUUUUUCCAUAAUUUCUCGUCUCUUUCUCUAUAGCUCCGCCUCUCUCUCAACCGCGAUGGUCAAAAUCAACAUUGGGGAUCUCAUCAGGUACGCGAUCUCUCUCUCUUUCCCAUCUAAUCUUUGGCCAAGACUAGGGUUUGAGGCUGGAAUUGUUGGCUAGUUUGACGCUUGUCCUUGUUUAUGUGCUUUAUUUGAUUUUUUAUUCGUAUUGGGGUAGAGUGGGGCUGUGAUGUACUUUGAAUCUUUCGUAUUCAUAUUGUAUGAUUGGAAGCUGAUUAUCACAGCUUUAUUAGUAUUACACCUGCAUUUUUCCUCUUUUACGAUGAAGCCUAGUCGUAAAAUGGCCACAUAAAAGAGAAAGAUUAAAAAAAUGAAGGAAAUCUAUACAAUAAAAAGAAAGAGAUAGGAUAAAGUAACUAAAGAUUAUGGAAACUACCAGGGGAGGAUGUACGUGUUAGAUUUAGGUGCUCAAGCAUCCAUUAACAUUGACAGAAACUAUGUAUAGCUAUAUUAAAAAUAUACCAAAUGGGAUAUAAUAGUUUAGCCAACACCCAAUACACAAAAUGACUGAUGGGUGCAGUGGUUCUGAUGCAGGAAUAAAAUCCUUUGCUGAGUGCAAAACACCCAGGUUCGAAUCCUUGUCACAGCAAUUCUCAAUUACUUUUUGUAUUUUGUGGAAUUAUUUUUUAACUUUUCCUAUUCUCUUUAGUGGUUAUCAACGACGGCCUUUCUUUGCUUUUGACAUAAAAUUUCAUUUUCUGUCUUUUUUGCUCAUUUUCCUACUUUCUUUCACCUUUAUACUUUCUUAUAUCUUGUCAACGACCGCCUUUCUUUGCUUUUGACAUAAAGUUUCCUUCUCUAUCUUUUUUUCUCCUUUUCCUACUUUCUUUCACCUUUAUACUUUCUUAUAUUAAUUAUAUUUAGGAUUUAGGACCUUUAUUUUUGCCUUAUUUUUUUUUUUUUCCUAUUCUAAUUGUCUUAAAGUUAAAAAGAAAAGCCAAAAAACGUGGACUGUUCUCCCUUUCCAACAAGUUCUUUACCUUUUUUUAUUCAAUUAUUCUUUUUCUUGUUGACUAAACUUUCCUUUCAAUUAUUCUCAAAAAACCAAAAACCCUUCUUCUCGGCAAAGAAAACGCAGCCCACUUGUUCUCUCCGGUAAUUUCAAAAUCAGAACAUAAAUAAAAGGUAAAAGAAUUUGGUAUUUUAAAUUUUUCAUUCAACCUAGAAGAAACAGGAAUUGAGGUUUUCUCAUGCUUAAUUUCCAGAAAACUUUAAAAUUAAACCCUUCUUCAGUUUUUUACUUAUUAGGAACGCAGUGAAGGAAAAAUCGAAGAACAAAGUAGACGAAAUAGUUAGCAAACUCUCCUGUCAUUCACAACAAUCUCAAAACUAGAACAUAACACAAGAUAAUAACUAAUAAGCUUUGGUAUUUCUAAUAAAGUAAGAGAUUAUAAAUAUUCUGUGGAAGGGUUUUGAAUCCUUUUCAUGCUUAUUGUUUAAUGUUUAUUCUUUGAAAGCAAAUUCAAUGAAAAAUAUUGCAGUGUUGUUUGUGUUGUUGAUUGAGGGGGGUUUUCCCAAUAGAAAUUAAUUAACAAAAUGUGUAGUAAAUUUCGAUUGCUAAGAACUUUAUGUUGAAGGAAGUGAGCACCAUAUUAAUGUAAGAGAUUAUAAAUAUUUUGUAGAAGGGGUUUGAAUCCUUUUCAUGCUUAUUGUUUAAUGUUUAUUCUUUGAAAGCAAAUUCAAUGAAAAAUAUUGCAAUGUUGUUUGUGUUGUUGAUUGAUGGGGUGUUUUCCCAAUAGAAAUUAAUUAACAAAAUGUGUAGUAAAUUUCGAAUGAAAUUAAAUUGAACUAAAUCUUGUUUGUAGGAAUUCUUAAUCAAUAUUUUGUGUCGAGAUGGAUAAGUUUGUCACAAGAUCAAAAGUUGGGCAAUCAAGUUCUAGUUCUACUCAUUCAUCUGUUGCGUCAUCCGUAGCCCCGAAAAUUCAAAGGGAUAUAUCUCUUUCAAAUCAUAAUUUAGGGUCUCCCAAUACUGACCCGGGGGAUAGGAAGUCCAUUGCACAAUAUAGCCCUAAUAUACGAGAUAAAACUAGACGGAAAUUCAAAAGGAUAUAUCUCUUUCAAAUCAUAAUUUAGGAUCUCCCAAUACUGACCUGGGGGAUAGGAAGUCCAUUGCAGAAUAUAGCCCUAAUAUACGAGAUAAAAUUAGAAGAUAUUAUAUUCAAAUAGGACCUUGCCAGCCUACGAGUCAUGAUUUUCCUAAAACUAAGUUUGGGAAGACAAUGCGUCAAUUUUAUCCUAGUUGGUUAAAGGGUCAACAUUCAAAGUGGUUGGAGUACAGUAUAUCAAAAGAUGCUGCAUAUUGUUUGUGUUGUAAUUUAUUCAAAAAUGAACAUGAAUUCGUGGAAAUAUGGGGAUGCUUUUACAAAAACUGGCUUUAGAAGUUGGACAAGGCUAUAGAAUGAUUUAAAGCUCAUGUUGGAGAGGUAGAUAGCAUCCACAACAAGUGUUUCAAAAGGAUGCUUGAUUUAAUGAAUCAAUCACAAUCAAUUCGCACUUCUUUUGAAAAGCAAUCUGAGAAAGAAAAAAAUGAGUCUUGACAUCGCUUGAGUGCUUCAAUCGAUGUUGCUAGGUUUCUUUUGAGACUAGGAUUGCCGUUUUUCGUGGGCACGAUGAGAGUCAAUCUUCAAUAAAUAGAGGUAUCUUUCUUGAAUUCUUGCAAUGGUAUGGAGAUAUUGCUCCAGAUAUUAGAAGUAUUAUAUUAGAAAAUUCUCCAAAAAAUGAAAUGAUGUGUUCCCCAAUGAUUCAGAAAGAUAUUUUUGAUGCUUGUGCCAAAGAAACAAUCAAAGCAAUCAUUAAUAACUUGGAUGGGAUUUUUUCGGGAUACUAGUUGAUGAAUCGAAGGAUAUAUCACACAAGGAGCAAACGGAACUUGUUUUGAGAUAUGUUAACAAAAAGGGCGAAGUAGUUGAGAGAUUUGUUGGUAUUGUUCAUGUCAAUGAUACAUCUGCUCAAUCAUUGAAGAAGGAAAUCGACUCUUUUCUUUCGUAUCACUCAUUAAGUCCCUCUCAAAUACGUGGGCAAGGUUAUCAUGGAGCUAGUAACAUGCAAGGAGAGCUACGUUGUCUUAAAACUUUGAUUCUGAAUCAAACUCCAUCGGCGUAUUGCAUUCAUUGUUUUGCUCACCAAUUGCAAUUAACACUUGUGGCUCUUGCAAAGAAGUAUUCAGAUGUAGGUGACUUUUUCAGUAUAGUUACUAGUGUGUUAAAUAUUUUUGGAUCAUUUUUUUACCGUAGAGAUUUGCUUCGACAACAUCAAGCUGAAAAGUUAGAGGAGUUGCUCAUAUCAGGUGAAGUACAUACUGGACGUGGACAAAAUCAAGAACGUGGGAUUUAACGACCAGGUGAUACUUGUUGGGGUUCUCAUUAUAGAACGUUAGAUAACCUCAUUGUCCUAUUAUCAUCAAUUGUUCAUGUUCUUGAAUUUGUUACUCAUGAAGGUCCAAAUUAUGCUGAUAGACUUGUUGCUGAAAGUCUUAUGACUAAGAUUAAGGAAUUUAAAUUUGUUUUUAUAUUGCACUUGAUGUGGAAAGUUCUAAUGAUGAUAAAUGAUUUGAGCUCCUCAUUACAAAGGAUGGAUCAAGAUAUUGUCAAUGCUGUGGGACUCCUCACUCAUACAAAGCAAAGAUUACAACUUGAGCUCCUCAUUACAAAGGUGGAUCAAGAUAUUGUCAAUGCUAUGGGACUCCUCACUCAUACAAAGCAUAGAUUACAAAGGAUGAGGAAUAGUGAAUUUCAAUCAUUGAUAAUGAUCCCAAAGAUGGAUGCUCUCUAUUUUCCUGGGAUGUCAAAGCGUAGAGCUCUUGAUGUUACAUACUCUCAUCACUUGCACGUUGAGAUAUUUAAUGGUGUUAUUGAUUUACAUCUUCAAGAGCUUAGAAGUCGUUUUGAUCGUAAGUACCGACUUACUUCUCGGUAUGGCUAGUUUAAAUCCACUUAAUUCAUUUGAUAAUUUUGAUAACAACAGGGUAAUGAAGUUGGCUCAAUAUUAUCCGAAGAUUUUGAUAGUAACAAGCUCCGGCAUCUUAGUUUCCAGCUUGAUAGUUUUAUAGUUUAUGCUCGUGGUCAUGACAAGAGGUUCUUCAACAUGAAAGGAAUUAGUGACCUUUCUAAAGUGUUGGUUAAGUACGACCUGUAUCAAACUUGGCCACUAGUGUAUUUACUUAUCAAGUUGACUCUCAUUCUGCCUGUUGCUACCGCUUCUGUGGAACGUGCUUUCUCAUCCAUGAACUACAUUAAAAAUGAGCUUUGUAAUAGCAUAGGUGAUGGAUUUUUAAAUAGUUUAGUUUGUUAUGUAGAGUGUAAGAUAUUUUCCACUAUAAACAACGAUGCCAUUAUUCAUCGUUUUCAACAUAUGAAAAGUCGUCGAUCACAGUUGUGAAUUAUGACUAGAAGUUAUUUUGGAAAUGAUAAAUAUUAUUUGUAGUUUUCACAUUAAGUCUUUUACUCUUGCAUUCGAAUAAUUGUGCACUUAAAGGAAAGUGAGCACCCACGACCUUAAAUCCUAAAUCCGCCACUGGAAACUACAAAUCACUUUUGAUGAGCCCGUUUCCUUUCUUUUAUUAUAGGCUUAGGAAUUGUUGGUAUUGUACGUAUUGGGCUGGUUGAAAUUAGGGCUUAUGAUUCUUUCUAUUUUUGGGAUGAUCUUUGAGCAUUGAGAUGACCUGACCCGUAUCUUGGUGUGGCAACCCGGUAUGGCUGUGUAUGAUUACUCCUCUCACAUGCAUUCUUUGUCAGCAAAAGAUAUAGCCCUCUAAGCAACUUUUCAACGGCUAAUUUUGUCAGCAAAAGAAAUUCUCAAGUCGAUUUUGUGAGGACUAACUGAAUACUGAUCUAUCCCAAAUAAUAGUCGUUAAAUUGGAACCUUGGAAUAUCUCUAAUUAAAUACAUGUUACUCAGAACUAUGUACCAAAACCAAUAAAGUAAACGAGACGUGUGAUUGAGUAGUAGCUGCAUUUUUUCUCGCAGAAUUCUAAGUCCUAAACCUGUGCCUCAGCUAAAAAUGAAAGAUUGUUGAAAAGUGAGUCUUUAGAAGUCCUAAAACUGUGCCUCAGGUAAAAAUGAAAGAUUGUUGAAAAGUGAGUCUUGAUAAUUUGAAUGUUAAAGCUAAAUGAACGGUUGGAAGUUCAUUUUUUAAUUUAGGGGACAAGUAAUUGUGGAAUGUUUUAAAUGGAUGUUUCCACUUAGGGAAUUAAAUGCUUUUUAACGGGACAAAUUUUAGUUCUUCAAGCUGACCUCUUUCUAACCACAUCUUUAUAAAAUAACUUCACUCAUCUCGUCUUCAUGUACAUCUCUUGUGUGGUCAGACCCUCCUUCUGGAUUUUUUGUUGCAGAUGACAUCUUGGACAAAGUGUCCUGAUUAUGUGUUAAAGGGUUCAAAUUUUCCCGAAUUUUAGCUCCAGCAACAGUGAUAUUGAUAUUAGCUGGGACGGAGUUACUGGAUUGCUCUUUCUCAACCAACAAUAAUUUCCCCUCCAUAUUAUUUACUAUUGUGAAGUCACUACCCUCAGAUUAUUGCACACCUUGAACACCAGACUUAACCCCAGGAGUAGAUCGAUUAUCAAUGACCAUAACAUCAAAAGAGUUUGAGACUCCAAUGACUGAUGACGAUAGAAUCUGACUUUGGAGACCUGGAGUUUGCUUCUUGCUAGGUGAUUUAUUCACCACUGUCCAGUUAUUGCUCUUUUUAUCUACUUUAUGUGGAGUAGCAGCAAAUUUUCUUUGAGUAUUAAAUGCCUUCCCCUCCACAUGUACUACUGUAGUCCUAGUAUCAGAAGAAUUUUCAAUUUGUUCACCAGGUACAACAGUAGGUCGUUUCCCCUGCAUAGCAGAUAUGUUCUCUUUCUCAUGGACAGACUGUUGUACAUUGUCUUCUCCAGCUUUUACAUUUUUCACAUCUUGAAGUUCAGAAUUUGGUGCAGCAUCUACCUUCAAUUGCCUAGCUACUUUAACAGUUGGAUCAAUAGUUGGUCGAUCUACAGUAUGAGUCAUUGCAUCAGUAUGCAAAACUACAGCUGAAUUUGCCAUAUUCCCCAACUUGGAAUAUGGCAAGAGGGGUUGCUUUGAUGGUAAGCAACCCCCACUUCCAACUGAGAGGUUGUGAGUUCGAGUNNNNNNNNNNNNNNNNNNNNNNNNNNNNNNNNNNNNNNNNNNNNNNNNNNNNNNNNNNNNNNNNNNNNNNNNNNNNNNNNNNNNNNNNNNNNNNNNNNNNNNNNNNNNNNNNNNNUAUUUGGAAAUAGCCUCUCUACCCCAGGGUAGAGGUAAGGUCUGCGUACAUACCACCCUCUCCAGACUCCACUAUGUGGCAUUAUUCUAGGUUGUUGUUGUUCUUGAUGUUGUUGUACACCUAGUACCCUGAGCCAGAGUACCCUGCUAAAACCCCUGCUCCCUUUCAGCUUCAUCAUACUCCAACACAUCUUCCUGUAGUUGCAACAGUACAUAAACUUUUCCUUGUUCUUAAACCUAUCAUGCAGAUGGUACUACUUGCAGCUGAGAAUAGUUACUACUUGCAGAUGGUAUUUGUUAGGAUGAUUUUGGCAUGAGUUAGUUACUAGUCAAUGUGUAACUUAGCUCCUUGAGUAGUCGGUUACAACGUUAUUACGAUUGUACAUACAACUACCUCUAAUGUUAUAAAAUAUGUUAGCUUUUUAUAAUUUCUCUGUCAUUUCCAAGUUAUAUGCAUUUGAAGAACUAUUUCUUCGGUUGAAUUCUAGCAAAGACAUGUGUUCUUUUAGAAUGAAUGAGCUAACAUAAUAUUUAUGUGAAUAGGGUCUUGAAUUCUCUUUUUGUAGUAGUGCUGAAUUGAGCAAGGAGGAGCAGUUUAAGAAAAAAGAAUGUGUGUUAGAAAGUAGUUAAAUAACUUGGUCAUAAUUUUAGCUUUAAGGAUGGGAUGCAAUUUAAAGCAUAAAUUGAUCGGGUCGGGUAGUAUCUUUAACGGCUCUUCCGAUAGCUUCGAUCUUUUACCUUUUUUAGCACCCGUUUCUUUAAUUUAAUAAGAGUUAUGUUGAUAUGACUAAUCAAUUCUGGGCUGCUUAUAAGAAAUGUUAACUUUUUCAUAUAUUGGACUCAUAAUAGUUACUACUAGUUAAUCGUUAUAAGAUUUAUGCACUCUUCACUUGAGACACAAUGUUAUCGAAGUGGCAUUUAUUUGGACAUUAUUAGAAAAAUUACAUUUGAUUUGCAGAAAAAGUUAAAAGGGGACCACAGUCUGAUGCUGAUAUCUUUGCGGAGACACAUAAGAAAGAGAAGAAAGAUGGUUUAAGACUAUUUUCAGAGUUUUUAGCGAAAGUUGUCCCUUUUUUUUUGGCGACCGCUAGGCAAAGCCUAUGGUUAAGAUUUUAUUAAUAACAGAAAAUUAAAAUUACAAUAUGAAAAACAUGAUCAUGCAGAUGAAAUUUGAUCGUUCCCGAGUUUAUAAUUUACUCUGUCAUGAUGUUACAUUUGAGGAAAUUAAGACGGUUGAAUAAAGUUAUGAUGAAGCGACGGGUGUCUUCGUAAUUCAUGCUUUGUUAUUUGUUCUUUGAGUCAACUGUUUUUGUUUUGCGAUUCUCAUUGGGAAGCGUCUUAUUUUUCCGAUAGCAUCUUUACAUUGAGAUAACUGUUUUUGUUUUGCGAUUCUCAUUGGGGGGCGUCUUAUGUUUCCUUCUUCUGUCACCCUGCCGUCCCAGCUUCUAUCUCUUUGACGACAUUUCUUAUUUGUUUUGCUGUGCAUUGGUGAUAAAUCGCCUUUUCUUACAGCAUCUUUACGACAUUGCAUUAACAUCUCUUCUUCCUCCCCUUCUUCAUAUGUAUGUGUUGCUUCCUUAUUAUUCUGGAACUGUCUUUGUUCUGAAGAUAUUUGCAUAGUAGAUGAUUCAUACUGAUCUUGUCGCUGUCCAGUAUGUAUAGGUGUAAUAUGCUUUUGUCCACUGUUUUGCUGUACUGUUUUUUUUACAGUAGUUGAAGAUUCAACCACGAGUUGGAUCACGUUUUUUGCAACUAUCCAUUACAAAACAAAGAAUUCCGUUCUUACAAGUAAAUACUCAAGACCCAACUUCGGUCGCCCUGUCGUCCCAGCUUCUAUCUCUUUGACGACAUUUCUUAUUUGUUUUGUUGUGCAUUGGUGAUAAAUCGCCUUUUCUUGCAGCAUCUUUACAACAUUGCAUUAACAUCUCUUCUUCCUCUCCUUCUUCAUAUGUAUGCGUUGCUUCCUUAUCAUUCGGGAACUGUCUUUGUUCUGAAGAUACUUGCAUAGUAGAUGAUUCAUACUGAUCUUGUCGCUGUCCAAUGUGUAUAGGUGUAAUCUGCUUUUGUCCACUGUUUUGCUGUACUGUUUUUUUUUUCCAGCAGUUGAAGAUUCACCCACGAGUUGGAUCACACUUUUGUGCUGUUUCUUUUUGGUCGUUCUUUGUAGUUGCUAUCCUUGAAUCAUCUGUUGUUGUAUUGAACUUUGGGUUGUAAGCUGGAGCAUUAUGAUUUAACAAGUGGUUUGAGUUUGCCCCAUAUGGAUUUUUUGCAUUCCAGAUUACAAUUGCAGCCUUUUCUUUAGAAUACAAGUCUUCUGUUGAGCUGUCGUAAUCACCUUCUUGAUCUUCCUCUGCUGACGAAGAACCAGUAGAGCCUUCUUCCCAACUCUCUUCAUCAUCACAUUGUCGUUGGUCCCAAAGUUUCGAUUUAAUUACCAACUCCCUCAUGUUAGCUAAAACUAGUUGUUUGUUCUCUCCAUUGAAUAUUAAAAAAUCUUCGUGAUCCUUGUUCUCUAUAUAUGUAUAGGGAAAGGUAGGAUAACUUUUGACAGUCUGAAUCUUCCCUCCAGCAACCAUUCCCUGUGAUCCUUGUUCUCUAUAUAUCUACAGGGAAAGGUAGGAUAACUUUUGACUGCCUGUAUCUUCCCUCCAGCAACCAUUCCGGAUGAAUUGGAGCUUAAUAUUAGAGCUGUAUUUUCCUCUGCGAUCUGCUUGCUUUGUUUGAAACCAACUGGCUGAUACGAUAUAUUCUCAGUGUGAUCUUUGUCCAGUGCAUCCCUGUUUUUUCCAAUUGUUUGAGCAGGCAUAACAACAUUGUCAACCAUCUGUCUAGACAGCUGCUGCUUAGUCAGUUCUUCAGAUUUCCAGUUCGAUUUCAGUUUUUCAGAUUCUGCAUCAACUGAACCUUAGUUCUGCAUGUUGUUCCGCUGCUGCUUUCCUUCAAAACCAUUCAUCUUCCAAUCUUGUGCAUACUGAUUGUGAACUGGAAGGUCAGUAUGAUUAGUAGCAGGUUCAUUGACCUUAUUGUGUAUCAAAAUAUGUUGUUUAGACAGUAAAGGUUGACUCUUGUUUGCAUUGUGAUGUGCAGCCUCAGCAGAUGAAGCAGCCUAAGCAGAUGCAGUAUAACUUUGAUCCUUCUCAGCAAACUGUCCAUCGUCUUCUCUGGCAAUUGCAAGCGCGACAAAAGAGUUGGAGCUUGAUGCUAUAACUGGACUGUUAUCAGUAAUUUGUGAAUUGACAUUAAUUUCCAAUUUGUCAUUACUGAUUUGCCUCGUUGACCAGUUGUUUCUUUCACUGUUUUGUCCAUUUGCUGUUAAGUUCAAACUAUUUUGUUGAACCAUCUCAGUCUGGAGACUUGAAAUCUGUCGAGAGGAAUUUUGUAAACUGUGAAAAUCUGAAGGAUGUGCAUCUAUUUUGUUGAAUCAUCUCAGUCUGGAGACUUGAAAUCUCUCGAGAGGAAUUUUGUAAACUGUCAAAAUCUGAAGGAUGUGCAGACUUUUGAAUGAGAUCAGAAUUUUGUUGUGCAGUUGCUGAUAUGUUCAAGAUGCUUUGGUGCACCAUCUCUGGCUUGUGAGAUGUAUCCUAUCUAGCUAAAAACUGCGCAAUAUCAUCCCUCUCAAUGAUAGCUCGCUCUGCAACAGUGUCCAUUGUGGAUUCCAUCACUGGCAGUUCUUCAUUAAGCAAAAACCUGGUGGAGUUGUUGUUCCCCUCUGCUGAAUUGGGAAUUGCAGAAGUAGUCAAAAUCAAUGUAUUACUCAAUUCAAUGCUUUCUUGUUGCCCAGAUGAAACAGUAGAUUCCAUUAGACUUGGCUGGGCAGUAUCAACAUUCUGUCCUGCAAGUACUUCUGCAGUUAGAAUGUUAGUAGCAGAAACAACAGCAUUUUUCGAAUGCACAACAGUCCUAGCCAUAUCAAAUUGAUCAGAGUCUCCCCUAUCCUUCACAGUCGUUUUAAAAGUGGCAGCAGUCAGUUUCUUUUCAUCUUGUACCAAACAUAUUUGUGCAUCAGCAUCAAUUGGACCAGUCACUGCUUGUGCAUUGUGAGAUAGCAGCUGUGAAAAAUUUGAUAAUUCGACUCCUGAGUUAUCAACUUUUUCUUGUACUUCUUUAAGUCCUUGUCCAGAUCGAUUAGCAUUUAGAUAAUCCCUUGCAUCCCCUUGUAAUUUGUCAAAACCACCGACCUCGGGACCAGGCAGACCACUGCCUUGCUUUUCCUCUGCCUGCACCUCUGCGAAAGUUGUCCCUUAUCUUCGGGAGUAGAUCUAAUAUUUUCCUCAUACUUCCUUGAGGCACAUUGAAACUUGCCAUUUUUAAAUAGUACAUUUCAUUCAUUCUUAGUUUUAUCACAUGCUUCAAUUUCUCUUUUGUGUCCAUCUUCCAAAAUGGUUUCUCUUGUAUGAAUCAAUAAAAUAGUUUUUAAAAUAACCAUUAAUUGAUCACUCUAAAAAUAGAAGGACCUGAUUGAUUACUUCCUUGUUAAAUAAACUUUGUUGAAAUCAACCAAUUUGAUCUCAUAAACCACAAAGUUUGCAGUAGAUAAAGGAUAAUUUUG
Molecule: long non-coding RNA, 10911 nt
Filed under: Nicotiana benthamiana
Lineage: Eukaryota; Viridiplantae; Streptophyta; Magnoliopsida; Solanales; Solanaceae
Description: long non-coding RNA (NBEN_LNC011700)
Source: RNAcentral